CGCGUAGGCGGUUUUCUAUGUCAGGUGUGAAAGCCCGGGGCUCAACCCCGGAAGUGCACUUGAAACUGGGAGACUUGAGUAUGGGAGAGGGAAGUGGAAUUCCUGGUGUAGCGGUGAAAUGCGUAGAUAUCAGGAGGAACACCGGUGGCGAAGGCGACUUCCUGGACCAAUACUGACGCUGAGGCGCGAAGGCGUGGGGAGCAAACA
This 207-nucleotide ribosomal RNA is filed under the name uncultured bacterium. Its description in RNAcentral is "partial 16S ribosomal RNA". It matches the Rfam family "Bacterial small subunit ribosomal RNA", at positions 568 to 774 of the family's 1533-position model. The record is from RNAcentral.